This 1149-nucleotide ribosomal RNA is filed under the name Triticum aestivum (bread wheat). RNAcentral's name for it is "partial small subunit ribosomal RNA". Lineage: Eukaryota; Viridiplantae; Streptophyta; Magnoliopsida; Poales; Poaceae. The record is from RNAcentral.
AUGAAAAUGAUUGGUCCAUUAUCAUUAUUCUUUUUCCGGGAGAUGGAAUCUUUCCGUUUUCAUAUGCACAAGGAGUCAACUGUGGCGGCUACGUGCGUUGAACUCGAUCCAUCCAUCGCCACCAACCCCAUCGCAGUCAGUCGGACUCUCAGCCGAGCCGACCAGCUGAGAUCGACCGAGAUGGGUGCCGUGGAGCUCCCGAAGAUCGACUUCUCCGGCGUGGACGCGUCGGCGCCGGGGACGGGGCGGUGGGACGCAGUGCGCGCGGAGGUGAUGGACGCGCUGGCCACCUUCGGCUGCUUCGACGCGCACUACCCGGCGCUCGCCCCGGCGCAGCGCGCCGCGCUCUUCGACGGCGCCGUCCGCCCGCUCUUCGCGCUGCCUGUGGACGCCAAGCGCCGCAACCACUACGGGCCCGGCAAGCCCUUCCACGGCUACCUCGGGGGCCUCCCGGGCCUCCACGCCUAUGAGAGCCUCGCCAUUGUCGGCGGGCCCGAGCUGGGCGCCGUCCAGGCCUUCGCCGACCUCUUGUUCCCCGCCGCCGACAACGCCGCCUUCUGCGAGGCUGUUCACGGCGCGGCGGCGCGGAUGGCGGAGCUGGAGGGGGCGGUGCGGCGGAUGGUCAUGGAGGGGCUCGGGGUGGCCGUCGACGAGGGCCAGGCCCAGAGCGCGCCCUUCUGGCACCUGUUCCGGAUGUCAGAGUACGGGGCGCCGACCGCCGACGAGAGGGCGAGAGAGGUGCGGUACGGGUCGCACCAGGACACCAACUCGCUGAGCGUGGUGUGCCAGCACGAGGUCGACGGGCUGGAGAUGCAGGCCAGGGACGGGCGGUGGGUCCUCGUCCGGCCGUCGCCGGCGUCGCUCGUCGUCAUGGCCGGCAACGCUCUCCGGGCGUGGUCCAACGACCGGGUGCACGCGCCGUUCCACCGGAUAAGCGUGGGCGGGGACGCGACGAGGUACUCGGCCAUCCUCUUCUCCGUCCCCGGCGAGCCGACGAUACGCGUGCGCGACGAGCUCGUGGACGAGGCCGGCGGCCACCCUCGCCGGUUCAGGGACUACGACUACGACGAGUUCGUUCGCUUCUGCGUCUCCGAGGAGGGUGGUCGCCAUGACGACAAGCUCAAGGCCUACUGCGGAGUAGCUGUGUAG